GCAGAAGGAUCAUUAGUGAAGAUCUGGGCAGGCCAUACGGACGCCACAAAGUGUCCCUGGCCGCCUACACCCACUAUACAUCCACAAACCCGUGUGCACUGUCCUUGGAAAGGGCAUUUGGAGAGAAAAAGGAAGAGAAGCGAGAACAGUGCGAUCCGUCGCGUUGGGCGUUGAUCUCUGACUUGGUCUCUCUGAGGCCCUUUCCUCGCUACAAACUCGAAUGGUUAGUAUGAACGUGGAACUUGGUUGGACCGUCACUGGCCAACAAACUAUACACAACUUUCGACAACGGAUCUCUUGGUUCUCCCA
This 309-nucleotide unclassified non-coding RNA is filed under the name uncultured fungus. RNAcentral describes it as "partial contains 18S rRNA, ITS1, 5.8S rRNA". Lineage: Eukaryota; Fungi. The record is from RNAcentral.